UGUCGCAGAUGGAUGAGCCUGCGUUGGAUUAGCUAGUUGGUGGGGUAAGGGCCUACCAAGGCUACGAUCCAUAGCUGAUUUGAGAGGAUGAUCAGCCACAUUGGGACUGAGACACGGCCCAAACUCCUACGGGAGGCAGCAGUGAGGAAUAUUGGACAAUGGGGGCAACCCUGAUCCAGCAAUGCCAUGUGUGUGAAGAAGGCCUUAGGGUUGUAAAGCACUUUAGUUGGGGAAGAAAGCUUUGAGGUUAAUAGCCUUGAGGAAAAGGACGUUACCCAAAGAAUAAGCACCGGCUAACUCCGUGCCAGCAGCCGCGGUAAUACGGGGGGUGCAAGCGUUAAUCGGAAUUACUGGGCGUAAAGGGUCUGUAGGUGGUUUGUUAAGUCAGAUGUGAAAGCCUAGGGCUCAACCUUGGAACUGCAUUUGAUACUGGUAAACUAGAGUACGGUAGAGGAAUGGGGAAUUUCUGGUGUAGCGGUGAAAUGCGUAGAGAUCAGAAGGAACACCAAUGGCGAAGGCAACAUUCUGGACCGAUACUGACACUGAGGGACGAAAGCGUGGGGAUCAAACAGGAUUAGAUACCCUGGUAGUCCACGCUGUAAACGAUGAGUACUAGCUGUUGGAGUCGGUGUAAAGGCUCUAGUGGCGCAGCUAACGCGAUAAGUACUCCGCCUGGGGACUACGGCCGCAAGGCUAAAACUCAAAGGAAUUGACGGGGACCCGCACAAGCGGUGGAGCAUGUAGUUUAAUUCGAUGCAACGCGAAGAACCUUACCUGGUCUUGACAUCCUGCGAUCUUUCUAGAGAUAGAUUGGUGCCUUCGGGAACGCAGUGACAGGUGCUGCACGGCUGUCGUCAGCUCGUGUUGUGAAAUGUUGGGUUAAGUCCCGCAACGAGCGCAACCCCUAUUGAUAGUUACCAUCAUUAAGUUGGGUACUC
RNAcentral lists this ribosomal RNA (938 nucleotides) under Francisella endosymbiont of Dermacentor andersoni. Its description in RNAcentral is "bacterial SSU rRNA". It matches the Rfam family "Bacterial small subunit ribosomal RNA", at positions 213 to 1140 of the family's 1533-position model. Lineage: Bacteria; Pseudomonadati; Pseudomonadota; Gammaproteobacteria; Thiotrichales; Francisellaceae. The record is from RNAcentral.